GACGAACGCUGGCGGCGUGCCUAAUACAUGCAAGUAGAACGCACAGUUUAUACCGUAGCUUGCUACACCAUAGACUGUGAGUUGCGAACGGGUGAGUAACGCGUAGGUAACCUGCCUGGUAGCGGGGGAUAACUAUUGGAAACGAUAGCUAAUACCGCAUAAUAUUGAUUAUUGCAUGAUAAUUGAUUGAAAGAUGCUAUUGCAUCACUACCAGAUGGACCUGCGUUGUAUUAGCUAGUAGGUGAGGUAACGGCUCACCUAGGCGACGAUACAUAGCCGACCUGAGAGGGUGAUCGGCCACACUGGGACUGAGACACGGCCCAGACUCCUACGGGAGGCAGCAGUAGGGAAUCUUCGGCAAUGGACGAAAGUCUGACCGAGCAACGCCGCGUGAGUGAAGAAGGUUUUCGGAUCGUAAAGCUCUGUUGUAAGAGAAGAACGGGUGUGAGAGUGGAAAGUUCACACUGUGACGGUAUCUUAACAGAAAGGGACGGCUAACUACGUG
Molecule: ribosomal RNA, 505 nt
Filed under: uncultured bacterium
Lineage: Bacteria
Description: partial 16S ribosomal RNA
Rfam family: Bacterial small subunit ribosomal RNA
Source: RNAcentral